This 215-nucleotide unclassified non-coding RNA is filed under the name Hevea brasiliensis (rubber tree). The record is from RNAcentral. Lineage: Eukaryota; Viridiplantae; Streptophyta; Magnoliopsida; Malpighiales; Euphorbiaceae.
CGGCGUUAUCAACCAAAACCACUUUCCAGCCAUCAGGGUCAAGGAAAGAGGCAAUCUUUGUGUUGAGCCCUGGUAGUGGACCUGGCUGCCGCAAAAUCUUUCCCCCUAGUUCUUUUGUAACCAACUCAACAGCCUCAGCACUCUUGUAGACAUCUUCAGUGCCAAUAGCAACCUGAGCAUAUGCGUUGCCCUUGGUAUAUUCUGUGACACCAUAG